UACGUAGGUGACAAGCGUUGUCCGGAUUUACUGGGCGUAAAGAGCGCGCAGGCGGUCGAUCAAGUCGAGUGUGAAAGCCCCCGGCUCAACUGGGGAGGGUCACGCGAUACUGAUCGACUCGAAGGCAGGAGAGGGUAGUGGAAUUCCCGGUGUAGUGGUGAAAUGCGUAGAUAUCGGGAGGAACAUCGGUGGCGAAAGCGCUCUGCUGGACUGCAACUGACACUCAGGGACGAAAGCUAGGGGAGCGAAUGGG
RNAcentral lists this ribosomal RNA (253 nucleotides) under uncultured bacterium. Its description in RNAcentral is "partial 16S ribosomal RNA". It matches the Rfam family "Bacterial small subunit ribosomal RNA", at positions 524 to 776 of the family's 1533-position model. The record is from RNAcentral.